AUUCCGGUUUGCUCAGUGGCAGAGAACUUAGCUCUGUCAUCCUUGACAGCAUUGCUUUAGGGUCUGUGGUGAGUCAAAGUGUCAAGAUCAAGGCAAUGAUGUCUCCCUGAGCAGCAUGGACUACAUGAACUAACACCGAGUGUCUAGGGCACCCCUUGAUUCAUAGAACUAACAGUAUGUGUUUCUCUUCAGAAUACAAGGAGUGUAUGGGAAGUAAACCAAAUACAUUUUGGAGAUAUCAAGUGUCCUGUUGAUACUGAUAAAACAAUACUGGGGAGAGGAUUUUUGACGGAAGAAAAGGAGGAUCUUUGGGGAAUACUAAAAAACACCAGUCAAU
Long non-coding RNA from Rattus norvegicus (Norway rat), 337 nucleotides. The record is from Ensembl. NCBI's taxonomy places the organism in Eukaryota, Metazoa, Chordata, Mammalia, Rodentia, Muridae.